This 233-nucleotide ribosomal RNA is filed under the name uncultured bacterium. RNAcentral's name for it is "partial 16S ribosomal RNA". It matches the Rfam family "Bacterial small subunit ribosomal RNA", at positions 794 to 1026 of the family's 1533-position model. The record is from RNAcentral.
UCCACGCCGUAAACGAUGUCAACUAGCCGUUGGGAGACUUGAUCUCUUAGUGGCGCAGCUAACGCACUAAGUUGACCGCCUGGGGAGUACGGUCGCAAGAUUAAAACUCAAAUGAAUUGACGGGGGCCCGCACAAGCGGUGGAGCAUGUGGUUUAAUUCGAUGCAACGCGAAGAACCUUACCAGGUCUUGACAUCCUGAUAACUUUCUAGAGAUAGAUUGGUGCCUUCGGGAA